Molecule: long non-coding RNA, 1031 nt
Filed under: Homo sapiens (human)
Lineage: Eukaryota; Metazoa; Chordata; Mammalia; Primates; Hominidae
Description: HSALNT0153002
Source: RNAcentral
CUGUGCAUGGAUUUCUCCAUUCCACCCAUGUCUUUUUCCUCUGGUGAUUCUGUUGUGUCCUGAUAUGGUUUGGCUGUGUCCCCACCCAAAUUUUAUCUUGAAUUGUAACUCCCACAAUUCCUGUGUGUCAUGGGAGGAACCCAGUGGGAGGUGAUUGAAUUAUGGGGGCAGGUCUUUCCUGCACUGUUCUCAUGAUAGUGAAUGAGUCUCAUGAAAUCUGAUGGUUUUAAAAACAGGAGUUUCCCUGAACAAGCUCUCUUUGCCUGCUGCCAUCCAUGUAAGACGUGACUUAUUCCUCCUUGCCUUCCGCCAUGAUUGUGAGGCCUCCCCAGCCAUUCAGAACUGUGAGGGUUCCAGACUCCAGAGUCUCCCUUUACCUAGUUCUUGGGAGUCUAGUGCAGCUGAAGACGAGGUACUGCGGAUGAAGAGGAAGACGAGGUACUGCGGAUGAAGAGAAACCCAGAUGAUCCAGGCACAUUUUAUAGACAAGGCCUCAACGACCCCAAAGGAACCUUUGAAAUCACCCUUUUCCUGGGUUCACGACGACUUGUAAACGAUACCAUCCAUCCCUGCUUAUUCAUAGUUAUUAAAUACCAGAAUAAAGAGAUUAGAGCUCAUGAGGUGCUUCGUCCCCAUCACUCGGGCUGCUUGGCUGCAUUUAUGAUGAGAAGGCUCUGGGUGUUUAAUAAAGUAUCUGAUAUGUCUAAUAAAAUCCUCCCAUGGCCCUGCUGAUGUUACUAUAAUAGCUUCAUGUCACAUGCUCUUGUGCUAUUGAGCCAGUACCAGAACAUAUUUUAAAUUCUUAUUAUGUCUAUUUAAUUUUUAUUUAAAGGAAAUUUUCAAGGUUUAAAGCAGGUACCGAGGUACCUAGGUGUGAAGACCUAGAAAUGUGCUGUAAUAUUUAUCAAAAUAGUAAUGGAGUGAUUUAAGGAUAGUAUAGGAAUAAGCAACUGUGCAUUCGUGGCUUAUCUAGUUAUAGAUCUGUACUGUUCCCCUAAGAACUGCAAUUUGUGAAAUAAUGGCUUCUCAUU